This 255-nucleotide ribosomal RNA is filed under the name uncultured bacterium. RNAcentral describes it as "partial 16S ribosomal RNA". It matches the Rfam family "Bacterial small subunit ribosomal RNA", at positions 524 to 776 of the family's 1533-position model. The record is from RNAcentral.
UACGUAGGGUCCAAGCGUUAUCCGGAAUUACUGGGCGUAAAGAGUUGCGUAGGUGGUUAAGUAAGUAGAUAGUGAAAGCGUACGGCUCAACCGUAUAUCCAUUAUCUAAACUGCUUUGACUAGAGGACGAGAGAGGUAGAUGGAAUUCCUGAUGUAGGGGUAAUAUCCGUAGAUAUCAGGAGGAACACCGAUGGCGUAAGCAGUCUACUGGCUCGUUCCUGACACUAAGGCACGAAAGCGUGGGGAGCGAACGGG